AACAAGGAUUCCCUUAGUAACUGCGAGUGAAGAGGGAAGAGCUCAAAUUUAAAAUCUGACAGUAUUGGCUGUCCGAGUUGUAAAUUAGAGAAGUGUUAUCCAAGCUAACUCUGUGCAAAAGCUUCUUGGAACAGAGCAUCAUAGAGGGUGAUAAUCCCGUCUUUGGUACAGGCUGUUGGCUGUUUGUGAUACACUCUCAAAGAGUCGAGUUGUUUGGGAAUGCAGCUCUAAAUGGGUGGUAAAUUCCAUCUAAAGCUAAAUAUUGGCAAGAGACCGAUAGCGCACAAGUACCGUGAGGGAAAGAUGAAAAGAACUUUGAAAAGAGGGUUAAACAGUACGUGAAAUUGUUGAAAGGGAAACGCUUGAAGUCAGUCAUGUUCAAAUGUAAAUCCCCUUGACCUUGGUUGAGUGAACUUUCUUUUGGACAGGUCAGCAUCAGUUUUGAUUGUUGGAAAAGGGGUCUGGAAAUGUAGCAUCUCUCGAGAUGUGUUAUAGUCUAGGCUCAUAUACAGCAGUUGGGACUGAGGAACUCAGCAUGACCAGAAAUGGUUUGGAGGUUUGCCUCACAUAACAUGCUUUGGAUGCUGGCAYAAUGGCUUUAAUCGACCCGUCUUGAAACACGGACCAAGGAGUCUAACAUACAUGCAAGUGUUUGGGUGUAAAACCCAUGCGCGAAAUGAAAGUGAAAGUUAAGAACCCUCAAGGGUGCAUUGACGCCUGGCCCUGAACAUUUUGUGACGGAGCUGCGGUAGAGCAUGCAUGUUGGGACCCGAAAGAUGGUGAACUAUGCCUGAAUAGGGUGAAGCCAGAGGAAACUCUGGUGGAAGCUCGCAGCGAUUCUGACGUGCAAAUCGAUCGUCAAUUUGGGUAUAGGGGCGAAAGACUAAUCGAACCAUCUAGUAGCUGGUUCCCGCCGAU
RNAcentral lists this ribosomal RNA (918 nucleotides) under Camarophyllopsis microspora. RNAcentral describes it as "LSU rRNA". It matches the Rfam family "Eukaryotic large subunit ribosomal RNA", at positions 67 to 965 of the family's 3401-position model. The record is from RNAcentral. Lineage: Eukaryota; Fungi; Basidiomycota; Agaricomycetes; Agaricales; Clavariaceae.